Molecule: ribosomal RNA, 253 nt
Filed under: uncultured bacterium
Lineage: Bacteria
Description: partial 16S ribosomal RNA
Rfam family: Bacterial small subunit ribosomal RNA
Source: RNAcentral
UACAGAGGUCUCAAGCGUUGUUCGGAUUCAUUGGGCGUAAAGGGGGCGUAGGUGGCGUGGUAAGUCUGGUGUGAAAUCCCGGGGCUCAACCCCGGAACUGCACUGGAUACUGCCAUGCUUGAGUACUGGAGAGGAGAUUGGAAUUUACGGUGUAGCGGUGAAAUGCGUAGAUAUCGUAAGGAAGACCAGUGGCGAAGGCGGGUCUCUGGACAGUUCCUGACGCUGAGGCACGAAGGUCAGGGGAGCAAACGGG